CCCUUAGAUGUUCUGGGCUGCACGCGCGCUACACUGACGCACGCAACAGGUGCCUGCUCCGAGAGGACUGGGUAAUCAUUUGAGUGUGCGUCGUGAUGGGGAUAGAAUAUUGUAAUUAUUACUCUUCAACGAGGAAUUCCUAGUAAGCGCCAGUCAGCGGCUUGCGCUGAUUACGUCCCUGCCCUUUGUACACACCGCCCGUCGCUCCUACCGAUGGGUGAUCCGGUGAAUGAUUCGGACUUCAGCGGCUCCCCUGGGGUGCGCCGGAGAAAGUUUUGUGAACCUUAUCACUUGGAGGAAGGAGAAGUCGUAACA
This 315-nucleotide ribosomal RNA is filed under the name uncultured eukaryote. Its description in RNAcentral is "partial 18S ribosomal RNA". It matches the Rfam family "Eukaryotic small subunit ribosomal RNA", at positions 1470 to 1796 of the family's 1831-position model. The record is from RNAcentral.